UCUACGGGUGGCAGCAGUGAGGAAUAUUGGUCAAUGGGCGCGAGCCUGAACCAGCCAAGUAGCGUGAAGGAUGACUGCCCUACGGGUUGUAAAUUUUUUUUAUAAAGGAAUAAAGUGAGGCACGUGUGCCUUUUUGUAUGUACUUUAUGCAUAAGGAUCGGCUAACCCCGUGCCAGCAGCCGCGGUAAGACGGAGGAUCCGUGCGUUAUCCGGAUUUGAUGGGUUUAAAGGGAGCGUUGAUGGGUUGUUCAGUCAUGUGUGGAAGUGUGCGGCUCAAACGUAAAAUUGAAAUUGAUACUGGCAGGCUAGAGGAAAGGUGAGGUAGGGGGAAUU
This 333-nucleotide ribosomal RNA is filed under the name uncultured bacterium. RNAcentral describes it as "partial 16S ribosomal RNA". It matches the Rfam family "Bacterial small subunit ribosomal RNA", at positions 338 to 668 of the family's 1533-position model. The record is from RNAcentral.